This 672-nucleotide unclassified non-coding RNA is filed under the name Hevea brasiliensis (rubber tree). The record is from RNAcentral. Lineage: Eukaryota; Viridiplantae; Streptophyta; Magnoliopsida; Malpighiales; Euphorbiaceae.
GGUGUUUGAAUUUCCCUUUAGUCAGGGAAUCAUACAAUGGAAGAAUAUUGUUUAAUAUAUGUACAAAAAUUUAGCUCAACAGGUUGCUCCUAUGUCCCUUAAGCUUUAUUUCGUCUUGGAUUUUUAGGUUAAAAUGGGAGAAUUACAACAAGAAGAAGAUAAGUUUACCUCUGAUUCUGAUGUCUUUACUAAGUUGUCCAGGAGUAACCAAGUGAUCGUCAUUAUCGCUGUUGUUUAGGUGGAUAUGUUUGUAAGCUGCCAAAAUUGAUAUCGAACGUUGCAGCUCUAGUCUUCAAGCAAAGAUCGUAGAUUUGCAAGUCCCUCGGCGGAUAUACUUUUCCUUAUUCUUGAUCUUUGAAAAACAACUGGAGGUGGAGGCUCGGAGUGAAAACAGACCAUGACUACUGUUAAGUUGUCUAUGGCACCGCGUUUUUUGGCCUCGUCUAUCAUUUCCUUGCAGCAUCUCUUUACAUUGUUAUGGUCCUGCAGUCUCCUCCGAGCAAAAUCAACUGCAUUUUGGCUUCGGAAAACAUCCCAUAUCCCAUCACUACCGAUGAUCAGGAACUCGUCCUCCUUUGUCAAUGUCAGCAGUUUCAGUUCAGGUUCAGCGCUCAAUGGUCCGCCCUUCUCAACUUCCUUCAAUCCUUUAAUAUGCCAGUUACCUAAAGCCCG